This 1379-nucleotide ribosomal RNA is filed under the name uncultured bacterium. RNAcentral's name for it is "16S ribosomal RNA". It matches the Rfam family "Bacterial small subunit ribosomal RNA". The record is from RNAcentral.
AGAGUUUGAUCCUGGCUCAGGAUGAACGCUGGCGGCGUGCCUAACACAUGCAAGUCGAGCGCGAUUAGUUGGACUGGAGACUUCGGUCAAAGGGAAGACUAUGAGAGCGGCGGACGGGUGAGUAACGCGUGAGCAACCUGCCCUGUACAGGGGGAUAGCCACUGGAAACGAUGAUAACUACCCCAUAAACCCCCGAGGUCAAAGGAGCAAUCCGGUGAGAGAUGGGCUCGCGUCUGAUUAGCUAGUUGGUGAGGUAACGGCUCACCAAGGCGACGAUCAGUAGCCGACCUGAGAGGGUGAACGGCCACACUGGAACUGAGACACGGUCCAGACUCCUACGGGAGGCAGCAGUGGGGAAUAUUGCACAAUGGGCGCAAGCCUGAUGCAGCAACGCCGCGUGAGUGAUGAAGGCCUUCGGGUCGUAAAACUCUGUCCUAAGGGAAGAAGAAGUGACGGUACCUUAGGAGGAAGCCCCGGCUAACUACGUGCCAGCAGCCGCGGUAAUACGUAGGGGGCAAGCGUUAUCCGGAAUCACUGGGCGUAAAGGGUGCGUAGGCGGCUGAUCAAGCCAGGGGUGAAAGUCCUGCUUUUAAGGUGGGAAUUGCUUUGGAAACUGGCGGGCUGGAGUGCAGGAGAGGUUAGUGGAAUUCCUAGUGUAGCGGUGAAAUCCGUAGAUAUUAGGAGGAACACCGGUGGCGAAGGCGGCUACCUGGACCGAUAUUGACGCUGAGACGCGAAAGCGUGGGGAGCAAACAGGAUUAGAUACCCUGGUAGUCCACGCCGUAAACGAUGAGUACUAGGUGUUGCGGGUAUUGACCCCUGCAGUGCCGCAGCUAACGCAUUAAGUACUUCCGCCUGGGGAGUACGCACGCAAGUGUGAAACUCAAAGGAAUUGACGGGGGCCCGCACAAGCAGCGGAGCAUGUGGUUUAAUUCGAAGCAACGCGAAGAACCUUACCAGGUCUUGACAUCCAGUAAAAACUGUAGAGAUACAGUGUGCCUUCGGGCGUACUGAGACAGGUGGUGCAUGGUUGUCGUCAGCUCGUGUCGUGAGAUGUUGGGUUAAGUCCCGCAACGAGCGCAACCCUUAUUUUUAGUUACUAACGCGUGAAGGCGAGGACUCUAAAGAGACUGCCGGGGACAACUCGGAGGAAGGUGGGGACGACGUCAAAUCAUCAUGCCCCUUAUGACCUGGGCUACACACGUGCUACAAUGGCUACUACAAAGAGGAGCAAAACCGCGAGGUGAAGCGAAUCCCAUAAAGCCGGUCUCAGUUCGGAUCGUGGGCUGCAACCCGCCCACGUGAAGUCGGAGUUGCUAGUAAUCGCGGAUCAGCAUGCCGCGGUGAAUACGUUCCCGGGCCUUGUACACACCGCCCGU